Molecule: ribosomal RNA, 460 nt
Filed under: uncultured bacterium
Lineage: Bacteria
Description: partial 16S ribosomal RNA
Rfam family: Bacterial small subunit ribosomal RNA
Source: RNAcentral
CCUACGGGGGGCAGCAGUGAGGAAUAUUGGUCAAUGGACGAGAGUCUGAACCAGCCAAGUAGCGUGAAGGAUGACUGCCCUAUGGGUUGUAAACUUCUUUUAUAUGGGAAUAAAAUGUUCCACGUGUGGGAUUUUGUAUGUACCAUAUGAAUAAGGAUCGGCUAACUCCGUGCCAGCAGCCGCGGUAAUACGGAGGAUCCGAGCGUUAUCCGGAUUUAUUGGGUUUAAAGGGAGCGUAGGUGGAUUGUUAAGUCAGUUGUGAAAGUUUGCGGCUCAACCGUAAAAUUGCAGUUGAAACUGGCAGUCUUGAGUACAGUAGAGGUGGACGGAAUUCGUGGUGUAGCGGUGAAAUGCUUAGAUAGCACGAAGAACUCCGAUUGCGAAGGCAGUUCACUGGACUGCAACUGACACUGAGGCUCGAAAGUGUGGGUAUCAAACAGGAUUAGAUACCCCUGUAGUC